AUGAAAAUGAUCAGCUGAAACUGUAGAGGGCUGGGUCUGCCUCGUACAGUUCAAGAAUUAGUGUGCAUUAAUAAGUCUUACCGACCCAACAUCAUUUUCCUUUCAGAAACUAGAAAGAAUAAAGAUUAUGUUGAGAGUUUGCGGUAUCGUUUGGGUAUGAAAAAUGUAUUUACUGUUUCGGGGAAAGGCAAAGGUGGUGGUUUAGCGAUAUUUUGGGAUGAGUGUUUCUCUGUGGAAUUAAAUAAAUUUGGUGACCAUUUUAUUGAUCUAUACAUAUGUAAGGGUGAUGGACCAAGAUGGAGAUGCACAUGUGUGUACGGGGAGCCAAAGGUACGUCAUGUGGGAGCUUUUGAGAUGAGUUAA
This 363-nucleotide ribosomal RNA is filed under the name Triticum aestivum (bread wheat). Its description in RNAcentral is "partial small subunit ribosomal RNA". The record is from RNAcentral. Lineage: Eukaryota; Viridiplantae; Streptophyta; Magnoliopsida; Poales; Poaceae.